This 65-nucleotide microRNA precursor is filed under the name Pristionchus pacificus. RNAcentral's name for it is "microRNA ppc-mir-71b precursor". Its record names the gene ppc-mir-71b. It matches the Rfam family "mir-71 microRNA precursor family". Lineage: Eukaryota; Metazoa; Nematoda; Chromadorea; Rhabditida; Neodiplogasteridae. The record is from miRBase by way of RNAcentral.
UGAAAAACUUGGGUAGUGAGACGAUGUGAAUUGAAUGCUUUCGUAUCACUAUUCAGUCUUUCGCC